AAAAUGCGAUACGUCAUGUGAAUUGCAGAGCACGGCGAAUCAUCGAAUCUUUGAACGCAAAUUGCGCCCCGGAAGCCGAGGUUUUCGGGGCACGUCUUUUUGAGUGCCCGCACCGACGUUAGACUCGUCGUCCCCUCCGAUCGCCGGAGGUCGGAUCGACGCAUCGGGAUUCCGGACAGAGGGCGCGCGGUCGCCGAUCGAUCCGGUCUCCCAAAGCGAAUGGAAGACGUCGCCUCGACGACGGGACCCGAUGCCGCUCGUUCGGCGUCGGGGCGUUUCGAGAACCGAACGAGACGAACGAACGUCGUCCACGUUCUCGACCUCGUCGUCAACGGACGCUCUUCCCCCGAGGAAAGGCCUUCGUUGGCUCGCACAAAUUUCGGCCUCAAAUAAGACGGGAUUACCCGCUGAAUUUAA
Molecule: unclassified non-coding RNA, 417 nt
Filed under: uncultured fungus
Lineage: Eukaryota; Fungi
Description: sequence contains ITS1
Rfam family: 5.8S ribosomal RNA (bases 1-109)
Source: RNAcentral